RNAcentral lists this ribosomal RNA (731 nucleotides) under uncultured bacterium. RNAcentral describes it as "bacterial SSU rRNA". It matches the Rfam family "Bacterial small subunit ribosomal RNA", at positions 771 to 1501 of the family's 1533-position model. The record is from RNAcentral.
AACAGGAUUAGAUACCCUGGUAGUCCAUGCCGUAAACGAUGUCUACUAGCCGUUGGGGCCUUUGAGGCUUUAGUGGCGCAGCUAACGCGAUAAGUAGACCGCCUGGGGAGUACGGUCGCAAGACUAAAACUCAAAUGAAUUGACGGGGGCCCGCACAAGCGGUGGAGCAUGUGGUUUAAUUCGAUGCAACGCGAAGAACCUUACCUGGCCUUGACAUACUAAGAACUUUCCAGAGAUGGAUUGGUGCCUUCGGGAACUUAGAUACAGGUGCUGCAUGGCUGUCGUCAGCUCGUGUCGUGAGAUGUUGGGUUAAGUCCCGCAACGAGCGCAACCCUUUUCCUUAUUUGCCAGCGGGUUAUGCCGGGAACUUUAAGGAUACUGCCAGUGACAAACUGGAGGAAGGCGGGGACGACGUCAAGUCAUCAUGGCCCUUACGGCCAGGGCUACACACGUGCUACAAUGGUCGGUACAAAGGGUUGCUACCUCGCGAGAGGAUGCUAAUCUCAAAAAGCCGAUCGUAGUCCGGAUCGCAGUCUGCAACUCGACUGCGUGAAGUCGGAAUCGCUAGUAAUCGCGGAUCAGAAUGCCGCGGUGAAUACGUUCCCGGGCCUUGUACACACCGCCCGUCACACCAUGGGAGUUUGUUGCACCAGAAGUAGGUAGUCUAACCGCAAGGAGGACGCUUACCACGGUGUGGCCGAUGACUGGGGUGAAGUCGUAACAAGGUAACC